This 658-nucleotide long non-coding RNA is filed under the name Equus caballus (horse). RNAcentral's name for it is "lncRNA (ENSECAG00000046936.1)". The record is from RNAcentral. Lineage: Eukaryota; Metazoa; Chordata; Mammalia; Perissodactyla; Equidae.
UAGAAACAGAAGAGGAAAGCAAAAGAGUUGCAGCAGAAGGAGAAAUCAGAGAGAUUCAAAGCACAGAAAGGACUCAACCCACUGCUGCCUGCUGCCGUUGAAGACGGAGCGGACAAUGUAAAAGGAAUGUGGGUAGUCUUAAGAAGCUGAGAGAGGCUCCUGGCUGACAGCCAGCAAGGAACAGGAUCCUCAGCCCUGCAGCCACAAGGAACUGAAUUCAGCCAACCGCCUGAAUGAGCAUAAAGCCUCCAGAUCAGAGCCCAGCUGCCCAAGAACUUGAUUUCCGCCUUGUGAGACCCACAGCAGAAAAUCCAGGCAAGCUCACCUGGACUUCUGACCUACAGAACUGUCAGGUCUUAUCAAAUUUAAGAGAAAUUUGUCUGCCGAGAAGAUAUAACUGAUAAAAGGAUGGAGGGUCAAAGGCAGGCAUGAAGAUUAGCCCUGAGCUAACAUCGGCCACCAAUCCUCCUCUUUUUUGGUGAAGAAGACUGGCCCUGAACUAACAUCUAUGCCCAUCUUCCUCUACGUUAUACGUGGGACGCCUACCACAGCAUGGUUUGACAAGCUGUGCGUAGGUCCACAUCCAGGAUCUGAACUGGCAAACACCGGGCCACUGAAGCAGAAUAUGCGAACUUAACCACUGCAUGACCAAGCCAGC